This 214-nucleotide unclassified non-coding RNA is filed under the name Glomeraceae sp. Its description in RNAcentral is "partial contains 5.8S ribosomal RNA and internal transcribed spacer 2". The stretch from base 1 to 71 matches the Rfam family "5.8S ribosomal RNA", at positions 84 to 154 of the family's 154-position model. The record is from RNAcentral. Lineage: Eukaryota; Fungi; Glomeromycota; Glomeromycetes; Glomerales; Glomeraceae.
GUGAAUCAUCAAAUCUUUGAACGCAAAUUGCACUCUCUGGUAUUCCGGAGAGUAUGCCUGUUUGAGGGUCAGUUUAAAUAAAAAUCGGUGUGGUUGCUGCCUUUCGUGGUGACGCACCGGACUUGCGUCGUCUUGCCUUCCGUUGAGAGCCCUAAACUUUUACAUGCUAUAUAUCGAACUUAUUUAAAUGUUUUUACAUACGUUUGCGAUAUCA